Molecule: long non-coding RNA, 1471 nt
Organism: Raphanus sativus (radish)
Lineage: Eukaryota; Viridiplantae; Streptophyta; Magnoliopsida; Brassicales; Brassicaceae
Exons: 2
Source: RefSeq, a predicted model, not a curated record
UUAAGAUUGAGACUAAAAAAAGAAAUUAGGAAUUGUGUUUAUAGUUUAGGAUUUUAAAUGUGAUAUAAGGUUUGGGGUUAAGUUUUUGAGUUUAGAAUUUGUAGUCAUAAUAUAAAGUUUGGGGUUAAGUUUUAGGGUUUAGGGUUUGAAGUACAUCAAAUUAUUUUUUAUACAUUUUCAAAUCUUAUGCUUAAACCCUUCAAAAACCUCAUAUUUUUAUCUUUAAUCUAAACUCUAAACACUACUCACACACCUUUGUAGUUUAGGGGUUAUAGUUUGGAGGUUAUAUAAUUUACGGAUUGUAGUUUUAGGGGUUACAUUUUUUUUGUUCCAAUUUUGACUGAUUUUAUUUGGGUUUUGGCUCCUUUACAAUUUUGGUUCAAAAGUAAUUAUGGCUCUCUCUAUAAUUCACCGAUGCAACUGCCCUACUUCUACGAUUGAUGGCAAAACUCAAAUGAAAAUGCAGAGUCUCUGUUUUUGAUUUUUCGAGGUAUUGGGUUUACACAAGAAGAAACGGAGAUGAUUCUGGUGAAAAGCCUAGAUGUAAAGUCGACGCCUUUGAUAAGAUCAGUGCUCGUGUUGCUUCUCUCCAGUCUCUGAAACUCAAUGUCUUCACGCUUCAGGGUCUAAAACCAGCAGCUGAUCUCCGCAUGUUCUGUUGGAAGCCUAGGCGUUGUAGACGGUGAUGUUAAACCGGGGAAUCUGCUUUUAGACCGGAAGGGUAAUCUCUCAGUCUCGGACUUUGACUCAGUGUUGUCUCUGGACAGAUUUACAGAGGUGAGUUUACAGAGAUGUUGUCGAGGUGAAGAAGAAAGGAAAAUCUAGAACAUAGUAUGAAGACUUUUGUAACAGUGAAUUAAAACCCAUGUUAGCAAUUCUGUACUAAACAGUUCCGUAUCAGAUCUUUACUACGAGAAAAACAAUGAAACCAAAAUAAAUAAACUUGUUAUUUUCUUUCUAAAGAUGUUUAUACUCGUAGAGAAGAAACCGGUAGGAGAAGAUAGAGGAGGAGACACAUUUUCACUAUCAUAGCAUUUUUCGAUAUCAUAGCAUUUAUGUAACGCUAUUAUAUAAUACAAUUUUUUUUAAAUCAUCUACGAUAGCAGUUCAGUAAAACGUGCUAUAACAAUAUGCUAUCAAUGUAGACUUUUUUUGUAGUGUGGCUCUCAAUCCUGGAGGCAAAGAACGGACCGAGAAAGAGUUUGAGGCAUUGGCCAAAGGAUCAGGCUUCAAAGGCAUCACAGUUGUUUGCAACGUUUUCGGUGUUUACGUUAUUGAGCUGCUCAAGAAGAUCUGAGAACAAAUUCCUUAAUGGUGCUUUAUAAAUAAAAAUGCAUGCUCUCUUGUACGUCUACUUCACCAACUUAAUUGUUGUAGUUAUGUUAUUGUUUUGAUUUAAAGUUUUAAGCAAUGAUGUUUAAUCAUGGUUGCCAUGCGAGCUGUUUAUCAAUAAAUUGUAUUUGUGUUUUUA